Long non-coding RNA from Mesocricetus auratus (golden hamster), 1858 nucleotides. RefSeq lists it as uncharacterized. The transcript has 3 exons. The record is from RefSeq and is a predicted model, not a curated record. Lineage: Eukaryota; Metazoa; Chordata; Mammalia; Rodentia; Cricetidae.
GCGCCGGAAGUCGCUAGCGAGCGCUUCCUGUGAGCUUGCGCAUAACCAGCAGGGCUGGCACUCGGGUAGCGCGCAUGAGUAGUCCCGCCCCUCCCUCGUGCGUGGCCUAGAGGGGAGCAGACGAGCCUAGCCAGCUCUCUAGCGGCUGCGGAACGUGGCCCGGAAGUGGAUGUUAGCUUCUACUUCCCCGUUGGUUUGGCCGUGAUUUGCACCUUAAUCUGUGCCACCCUGGAAAUGGAAGGUUUCCGUCGCAAGAUCCGAGUGUGGCGAGGCGGGGUCACAUAGCCGAUCCUGAUUGCUGCUCUGAAGAUUAUUUUUAUUACUAUUUAUAGCAUCUUGCUGCCUUCACAGUUUGAGCAAGAAUCCAUUUUUCCCUACCAACGUGGAUUGUUGCAGGGAUCGGCCUGGAGUCCACUUUCAAGAGGGACAUUGACAUACCUAUAUUAGUUAUGGAGGUGGAGAGUGGAAUUGUCAGGUCGUGUGAGAAGGGGCGCUGCUAGGGAAGAUGGCCCUGAAGAAUGGCCGGAGAUGUAUGGAAAAAUACUCUUUAAAGGACUGAUCUGUUAAUGGACAGAUUGUUACAGACAUGUGAACAAGCAUUGAUGAGUAAAAGCUCAAGGGAGGCAACCUUAAAGUCACUGGAAGAUAACUGUUCAUAGUUGAGACUGCAUAAACUGUGGAAUGGACUCCUCCUAAACUCCGAAUUUACUGCUUGAGAAUAGAAUCUGAGUUCCGUGGAAAUUAGCAGGUCUAUAAAAAGAGUGCAACACGAGAUGAAGAAUUUCCUGUUACAUAGUCCUGCCACUAUGAGAUGUUGCCCCAGCACAUGGAGCUAUGCCACCGUGAACCUACUGAAACAGAGGUAUAAAAGAGAAAAUAAGGGAUGUAAUAGAGGGAAAGCAUCAGGAAAGAUGUGGAUGGAGGACAACUGGAGGGAGGAGGAAGAAGACAGCAGGGAGAGAACAGAGCAGCAGCAGAAAAAAAAGGUAAAUGAAGGAUUAAGCGCUGGCCCUCAGAAAAGUCUUCUGUGUAUGUUUGCACCUCCUCUCCAGUUUCUCUGGCCUUCUGAGAGUUAGUGCUCUCAGCAGCACACUUUGGUUUAUGCUGUUUUCCAAGAGUUUUAUUGAUUUAUUCCCACAUUCAGGUCUAUGGCCUGUUCCUAUUACCAUGUGGGAUCCCAUCAUUCCACAUCCUUACCAACAGUUGCUAUUGACUUUUUUAUUAAAGUCACCCUAGUAAGGUGGAGCAGGGACUGCUGGCUUCUGUCUCACAUUUUGUAAGGGUGCAUGACAUACAGUAUCCUCUCAUCUGCUUAGCGGCCUUCAUGUACUCUCUAAGUUGUCUUUUAUAUUGAACUGUAAGAAUUGCUUACAGCGUCUAGACAUGAGCUCCUUACCAAAUGUAUGAAUUGCACUUAUAUUCCUCAGGGGGAGAAUGGUUCUCAUGUCACCUAGGUUGGCUUUGAACUUUACAUGGCUAGCCUUUAAACACGUCUUCUUGCCUAUACCUCCUGAGUGCUAGGAUUACAGGCAAGGGACAGCAUGGCUCCUAUUUCCUUCCCUCUGAAUGUCUGUCCACUUCCACUUAUAAUAUCCAUUGAAACAGGCGUUCUCCAGCUGAAGAGGGACACCUUAGCUACAUUAACAUAUAAUUUUAUUUGGUUACUUGUGGUUCAGUGCCACAUCUAAUAAGCCAUGUCUGGUGUGAGAUUUGCCCCUACACCUUCUUUUAUUACACUUUAGGGUCUGUGAUCCACUUGUAGUUAGCUGUAGAAGUUCAUUUCAAUUCUUUUUUAAAGAUUUUUUAAAGAUGUCAUUAUAGAUGGUUGUGAGCCAAUAUAUGGUUGCUUGGAAUUGAA